This 492-nucleotide ribosomal RNA is filed under the name uncultured bacterium. RNAcentral's name for it is "partial 16S ribosomal RNA". It matches the Rfam family "Bacterial small subunit ribosomal RNA", at positions 29 to 507 of the family's 1533-position model. The record is from RNAcentral.
AGUGAACGCUGGCGGUAGGCCUAACACAUGCAAGUCGAACGGCAGCACAGUAAGAGCUUGCUCUUACGGGUGGCGAGUGGCGGACGGGUGAGGAAUGCAUCGGAAUCUACUUUUUCGUGGGGGAUAACGUAGGGAAACUUACGCUAAUACCGCAUACGACCUACGGGUGAAAGCAGGGGAUCUUCGGACCUUGCGCGAUUGAAUGAGCCGAUGUCGGAUUAGCUAGUUGGCGGGGUAAAGGCCCACCAAGGCGACGAUCCGUAGCUGGUCUGAGAGGAUGAUCAGCCACACUGGAACUGAGACACGGUCCAGACUCCUACGGGAGGCAGCAGUGGGGGAUAUUGGACUAUGGGCGCAAGCCUGAUCCAGCCAUACCGCGUGGGUGAAGAAGGCCUUCGGGUUGUAAAGCCCUUUUGUUGGGAAAGAAAAGCAGCAGGUUAAUACCCCGCUGUUCUGACGGUACCCAAAGAAUAAGCACCGGCUACCUUCGUG